RNAcentral lists this long non-coding RNA (4788 nucleotides) under Sus scrofa (pig). Its description in RNAcentral is "lncRNA (ENSSSCG00065077898.1)". The record is from RNAcentral. Lineage: Eukaryota; Metazoa; Chordata; Mammalia; Artiodactyla; Suidae.
UUUUCAAACCCGUGAAAUCCUCCUAAGCAGUUUCACUUUUAGAGGAAACUUUUCCAUACACCAUUGACAUACACUUAUGUUACAUUUUGCCAAUCAUGUAAAUGUGCUGAUACUGGCCACAGGAUGCAUCUGAUAUUUCAUUCAUUAGGUUGUAUUGAAGACUUUUUUGCAGGGGAAGAAAAUUAAAAACAAACAACAAUCCUGGUUUUUGCUGUAACGAAGAAAAAAAAAAAAGGCUGCUUGCUUCUUACACCCACUGCCCCCUCCCCCCAUUCCCUCCCAUCUGGAGACCACUGAAUAGUUUUUUUAUUUGUGUAGUUUUGCAUCUUCCAGCAUGUCAUAUAAAUAGAAUCCUAUAGUAUACAGCCUUUGAGUCUGGUCUUUUUCACUUAGCAUAGUACAUUUGAGAGUCAUACCUGAUUUUGUAUAUAUCAAUAGUUUGUCCGUUUUUGUUGUUGUUGUUUUUUUUUUGUCUUUUUGCCUUUUCUAGGGCCGCUUCCCGCAGCACAUGGAGGUUCCCGGCUAGGGGUCGAAUUAGAGCUGUAGCCACCGGCCUACGCCAGAUCUACAGCAAUGUGGGAUCCGAGCCGUGUCUGCAGCCUACGCCACAGCUCACAGCAACGCAGGAUCCUUAACCCACUGAGCAAGGCCGGGUAUCGAACCUGCAACCUCAUGGUUCCUAGUCGGAUUUGUUAACCACUGUGCCACGACAGGAACUCUGUUCGUUCAUUUUUAUUGCUGAAUAAUAUCUUACUGUACAUCCAUAUAGUAAGUAAGUAAUUUGUUUACUCAUUCACCAAUGGAAGGACAUUUGGGUUAUUCCCAAUUUUGAGUGACUGUAUAAAUCUGCUAUAAAGGGUGGUGAACAAGCUUUUGUAUGGACAUAAAUUUUCAUUUCUCUUGUACCUAAGCAUGGGAUGGCUAGGUAGUAGGGUAUUAUGAGAUUGUAAACUGUUAACCUUUCUAAUAGGUGUGAAAUGGUUCCUCAUGUGGUUUUAGUUUGCAUUUCACUAAUAACUAAUGAUGUUGAACACUUUUUAAUAUGUAUAUUUGUCAUCUGUCUUCUCUGGUGAAAUGUCUCCAAGUCUUUGGGCCAUUAAAAAUAUUGGUUGCUUAUAUUUUUAUUUUUAAGUUUUAAAAGUUCUCUUUUAUUGUAAUUUUUAAAAUUGAGGUAUAAUUCACAUAUAACAUGUUAGUUUUAGGAGUACAGCAUAAUGAUUUGACAGUUGUAUAUAUUACAAAAUGAUCACCACAGUAAGUCUAGUUAACAUACAUUAUCAUACAUAAUUACACAAAAUUUUUUUCUUGUGAAAACUUUUAAGAUCUAUUCUCUUAGUACCUUUAAUAGAAAACAAUACAGUAUUAUUAACUAAAGUCACAUUACUUUUUUUUUAUAAUUGGAAGUUUGAACCUUUUGACCCCCUUUACCAAACAUUUAUAUAUUUAUAAAAUUCAUUUAUAUAUUGUCAAUACAAGACCUUUGUCAAAUAUGUGUUCUGUAAAUAUUCUCUCCUUUUUUGUACUCUUGUAAUUGUCUUUAGCAGAGCAUAAAUUUUUAAUUUAUCCUUUUUUUUAAAUGUAUUACGCUUUUGCUAGUGUAUCAAAGAAGCUUUGCCUAAGCUGGUGAUUUUCAAAUGGGAGACAGUCUACCUAUCUUGAACAUUCGGCCAUGUCUGAAGUCAUUUUUGAUUGUUCUGAUUGGGGGUGGGGGUGCUGCUGGCAUCUAGUAGGACCAGAUCUGCUGUUAAACACCCUGCAGUGCACAGCAUGGCUCCUCACACAAAGAGCAAUUCAAAAACAGUGCCAAGGCUGAAACCUUGGCUUAACUCAAGGUCACAAAAUUUUGUUCUUUUACUUCUUUUUUAUUUUUAAGAAAUUUUCGCAAUUUUCUAUUCUGCAUGUAGGUUUAUGACUUAUUUUAAGUUUUGUAUAUGGUGGAAGGUAUGAGUUGAAGUUCUGUUUUAUUUUUUGGCAUGGAUGUCUGGUUAUUUCAAUAACAUUUGUUGAAAAGACUAUCCUUUGCCACUGAAUUACCUUUGAUUAUAAAUGCAUGGGUCUAUUUCUGGACUCUCUUCUGUUGCUCUAUUGUUUAUCUUUUCCCUAAUAGCAUAUGGUCUUGAUAAAUUGCUUUAUAGUAAGACUUGAAAUCAGAUAGUCUGAAGCUUAUAAUUUUAUACCUCUUUUUCAAAAUUGUUUCUGCUCGUCUAUUUUUUUUUUAAAUUUAUUUUUUCCACUGUACAGCAUGGGGACCAAGUUACACUUACAUGUAUACAUUUUUUUCCCUUCCUUUGUUCUGUUGCAAUAUAAGUAUCUAGACAUAGUUCUCAAUGCUACACAGAAGGAUCACAUUGUAAAUCCACUCCAAGAGCAAUAGUUUGCAUCCGAUAACCCCACGCUCCUGAUCCCUACCACCCCCUCCUUCUCCCCCCAGGUAGCCACUAGUCUAUUCUCCAAGACCAUGAUUUUCUUUUCUGUGGAAAUGUUCAUUUGUGCCAUAUAUUAGAUUCCAGUUAUAAGUGAUAUCAUACAGUAUUUGUCUUUGUCUUUCUGAUUAUUUCACUCAGUAUGAGAGUCUCUAGUUCCAUCCAUGUUGCUGUAAAUGGCAUUAUGUAAUUCUUUUUUAUGGCUGAGUAGUAUUCCUUUGUGUAUAUAUACCACAUCUUCCUAAUCCAAUCAUCUGUCGAUGGACAUUUUGGUUGUUUCCAUGUCUUGGCCAUUGUGAAUAGAGCUGCAAUGAACAUGCAGGUGCAUGUGCUUUUUUAAGGAAACUUUUGUCUGGAUAUAUGCCCAAGAGUGGGAUUGCUGGGUGAUAUGGUAGUUCUAUGUAUAGAUUUCUAAGGUAUCUCCAAACUGUUCUCCAUAGUGGCUGUACCAGCUUACAUUCCCACCAACAGUGCAGGAGGGGUUCCCUUUUCUUCACAACCCCUCCAGCACUUAUUCUUUUUGAUGGCAGCUUGUAGAGGUAUACUGAAUUCAUAUUUGAGUUGUGAAAUGGCCAACUGUUAAAUUCAAUAUUUGGUGAAAGCUGAGACUGAAGUUAAGUAUCACCACCACAGAAAGAGAACUUCCAGCAUAAAAGGAAAAAAAUUCAAGCUUUUAUUUUAAAAUGUAAUUAUUACUAUCACAUUUUUAUUAUUAAAAGUUUUGAUAGUCAUAUUUUACAAAUUGGAUAUUAUACUGUAGGGACAAUAAUUUCUGCAUAGCUUGAUUUGCUCCUAUAGUGAAUAUACUACAGAGAGCAGUCAUUAAAAACCUAUACAAAAAGAUAUACUCAGAACACUAUAGAUUGAUCAAAUUGGAAAAUCUAAAAAAAUUCAAUUAACUGACAAAAAAUGUAAGAGGAAGAAAACAGAGAAAUAAAAAACACAGAGACCAAACAAAACAAAAAAAUAAAAUGGUAAACUUAAGCCCUAAUGUUAAUAAUUACAUUAUAGGUAAGUGGUCUAAACACAACAACAAAAAUAUAGAGGUUGGUAGACUAGAUUAAAAACAUGGCUCUACUAAGUUUUGUCUAUAAGAAACUUAUUUCAAAUGUAAUGGUAUAGAUAGAUUGAAAGUAAAAGGACAGAGAGUUCCUGUUGUGGCACAGUGGUUUAUGAAUUCGACUGCAGUUCGGGUCUCUUUGGAGGCAUGGGUUUGAUCCCUGGCCUGGUGUAGUGGGUUAAAGGAUCCAGCAUUGCUGCAGCUGUGAUGUAGGUCACAGCUGCAGCUCAGAUUCAAUUCCUGGCCUGAUAACUUCAUAUGCUAUGGAUGCACCCAUUUAAAAAAAAAAAAGUGAAAGGACAGAAAUGUUAUAUCAUAAAACAUUAAUAAAAGGAAGUAAGAUAGACCAUGUUAAUAUUAAAUAAAGCAGGCUUCAGGGCAAACAAAAUCACCAGAGACAGAUUACAUAAUGACGAAAGGUCAAGCAAUCAUGGGCAUAUAGCAAUCCUAAAUACACACACACACACACACACACACACACACACUAACAAAAGACUUACAAAAUCUGUGAAGUAAAAACUGAUAGAACUAAAAGGAGAAAGAGACAAAUUCACAGUUACGGUCGAAGACUUCAACACACCUCUCUCAACAAUCAGAACAAGUAAAAAGAAAAUUAGCAAAGAUAUAGAAGAAAUCAAUACUACCAUCAACCAACUGGAUCUAAUUGACAUUUUGAGAACACCCUACUCAUAAAGAGUAGACUAUGCAUUCUUUUCAAGUGUCCAUGGAACAUAUACCAAGACAGACUGUGUCCUGGGCCAUUAAAGAAACUUAAACACUCUGAAAUCACAGGAGGGCAUUCUCUAAGCACAAUGGAAACAAGCUAGAACUCAAUCACAGAAAGAUAACAUAAAACUCCAAAUACUGGGAAAAUAAUCAAUAUACUUCUAAAUAAUCUGUGAGUCAAAGAGGAAGGCUUAAAGAAAAUUAAAAAUCUACAUUGAGCUGAAUCAAAAUGAAAACACAACAUACUAAAUUUAUAGGACACUGCUAAAGAAGUCCUGAAAGAGAAAUUUAUAGCACUAAACCCUGACAUUAUAAAAGAGAACUCUCUCUCAUGGAGUUCCCAUCGUGGCACAGCAGAAACGAUCUGACUAGGAACCAGGGGGUUGCUGGUUCAAUCCCUGACCUUGCUCAGUGGGUUAAGGAUCUGGCGUUGACAUGAGUUGUGGCAUAGGUCGCAGACACGGCUCAGAUCCUCCCUUGCUGUGGCUGUGGUGUAGGCUGGCAGCUCUAGCUCUGAUUCAACCACUAGCCUGGGAAUAUCCAUAUGCUGCUAGUGCAGCCCUAAAAAGCAAAAAAAAA